This 429-nucleotide ribosomal RNA is filed under the name Pseudomonadota bacterium. RNAcentral describes it as "Proteobacteria bacterium partial 16S ribosomal RNA". It matches the Rfam family "Bacterial small subunit ribosomal RNA", at positions 355 to 776 of the family's 1533-position model. The record is from RNAcentral. Lineage: Bacteria; Pseudomonadati; Pseudomonadota.
UGGGGAAUAUUGGACAAUGGGCGAAAGCCUGAUCCAGCCAUGCCGCGUGUGUGAAGAAGGUCUUCGGAUUGUAAAGCACUUUAAGUUGGGAGGAAGGGCAGUAAGCGAAUACCUUGCUGUUUUGACGUUACCGACAGAAUAAGCACCGGCUAACUCUGUGCCAGCAGACGCGGUAAUACAGAGGGUGCAAGCGUUAAUCGGAAUUACUGGGCGUAAAGCGCGCGUAGGUGGUUCGUUAAGUUGAAUGUGAAAGCCCCGGGCUCAACCUGGGAACUGCAUCCAAAACUGGCGAGCUAGAGUAGGGCAGAGGGUGGUGGAAUUUCCUGUGUAGCGGUGAAAUGCGUAGAUAUAGGAAGGAACACCAGUGGCGAAGGCGACCACCUGGGCUCAUACUGACACUGAGGUGCGAAAGCGUGGGGAGCAAACAGG